RNAcentral lists this ribosomal RNA (463 nucleotides) under Pituophis deppei. RNAcentral describes it as "partial 12S ribosomal RNA". Lineage: Eukaryota; Metazoa; Chordata; Lepidosauria; Squamata; Colubridae. The record is from RNAcentral.
ACCCUACUAUGCCCAGCCAUAACACAACAAUUAAAUUACCCAUUGUUCGCCAAAUAACUACGAGUAAAAACUUAAAAUUUAAAAGACUUGACGGUACCUCAAAACAACCUAGAGGAGCCUGUCUAAUAACCGAUACUCCACGAUUAACCCUACCCGCCCUAGCCUAACAGUCUAUAUACCGCCGUCGCCAGCCUACCUUGUGAAAGAAACAAAGUAAGCCAAAUAGUCAUACACUAGUACGACAGGUCGAGGUGUAACUCAUGGGUGGGUCAAAGAUGGGCUACAUUUUCUAAGUACAGAAUAUACGGAUAAAUCUAUGAAACAGAAACUGAAGGCGGAUUUAGAAGUACAAUGGGAACAACAACCCCAAUAGAAAUUAACGCAAUGAGGUGCGUACACACCGCCCGUCAUCCCUGUUAACACAAACCAAAAACAUAUAUAAACAUAAAGAAUUACCAAAGCA